This 177-nucleotide ribosomal RNA is filed under the name Trichoderma viride. Its description in RNAcentral is "internal transcribed spacer 2 (ITS2)". The record is from RNAcentral. Lineage: Eukaryota; Fungi; Ascomycota; Sordariomycetes; Hypocreales; Hypocreaceae.
CAACCCUCGAACCCCUCCGGGGGGUCGGCGUUGGGGACUUCGGGAACCCCUAAGACGGGAUCCCGGCCCCGAAAUACAGUGGCGGUCUCGCCGCAGCCUCUCAUGCGCAGUAGUUUGCACAACUCGCACCGGGAGCGCGGCGCGUCCACGUCCGUAAAACACCCAACUUCUGAAAUG